Molecule: ribosomal RNA, 253 nt
Filed under: uncultured bacterium
Lineage: Bacteria
Description: partial 16S ribosomal RNA
Rfam family: Bacterial small subunit ribosomal RNA
Source: RNAcentral
UACGUAGGGUGCGAGCGUUAAUCGGAAUUACUGGGCGUAAAGCGUGCGCAGGCGGUUUUGUAAGCCAGAUGUGAAAGCCCCGGGCUUAACCUGGGAAUGGCAUUUGGGGCUGCAAGGCUUGAGUGCGGCAGAGGAGACUGGAAUUCCUGGUGUAGCAGUGAAAUGCGUAGAUAUCAGGAGGAAUACCGAUGGCGAAGGCAGGUCUCUGGGCAUUAACUGACGCUGAGGAGCGAAAGCAUGGGGAGCGAACAGG